Molecule: transfer RNA, 73 nt
Filed under: Mycobacterium sp.
Lineage: Bacteria; Bacillati; Actinomycetota; Actinomycetes; Mycobacteriales; Mycobacteriaceae
Also listed under: 5 other names
Description: tRNA-Arg
Rfam family: tRNA
About the family: Transfer RNA (tRNA) molecules are approximately 80 nucleotides in length. Their secondary structure includes four short double-helical elements and three loops (D, anti-codon, and T loops).
Source: RNAcentral
GCCCCCGUAGCUCAGCGGACAGAGCAGCCGCCUUCUAAGCGGUAGGUCGCAGGUUCAAGUCCUGCCGGGGGUG